Molecule: long non-coding RNA, 1950 nt
Filed under: Papio anubis (olive baboon)
Lineage: Eukaryota; Metazoa; Chordata; Mammalia; Primates; Cercopithecidae
Description: lncRNA (ENSPANG00000040527.1)
Source: RNAcentral
AAGCUACCCUUCAAUGCAAGAACCAGGUGUGAUGGUGACUAUUGAGUGUCAACUUGAUUGGAUUGGAAGAUGCAAAGUAUUGUUCCUGGGUAUGUCUGUGAGGGUGUUGCCAAAAGAGAUUAACAUUUGAGUCAGUGGACUAGGAGAGGCGGACCUACCCUCAAUCUGGCUGGGCACCCUCUAAUCAGAUGCCAGCCUGACUAGAAUAAAGGAGGCAGAAGAACGUGGAAAGACUUGACUUGCUGAGUCUUCUGGUCCUCAUCUUCCCUUGUGCUGGAUGCUUCCUGCCCUUGAACAUCAGAUUCCAAGUUCUUCAGCUUUUGGACUCUUGGACUUACCCCAGUGGUUUGCCAGGGGUUCUUGGGCCUUUGGCCACAGACUGAAGUCUGCACUGUCAAGUUCCCUACUUUUGAGGUUUUGUGACUUGGACUGGCUUCCCUGCUCCUCAGCUUGCAGACAGCCUAUUGUGGGACCUCAUCUUGUGAUCAGCAGGUGACCAUUGAGCAGAGACCAUAAUCAAGUGAAGGAGUGAGUCACAAGAUCUGAGAACCAUGCAAAGACCUGCAGAAAGACCAUCUAAAACCAAAGGAAGAGACUAAGCAAAUCCAGCCUGGCUUUGGAGACGGCACCCUUACCUGGCACUCAGGCAACCAAGGAGCCAUGCUGAGGUCAGUGCAGAACCAGGAGCACGGUGACCCAGGGCCUCUGUGAUGACAGCCUUUAAAGAUAGAAGGAGGGGCCGGAUGUGGUGGCUCACUCCUGAAAUCCCAGCAUAUUGGGAGGCUGAGGCAGGCAGAUCACUUGAGGUCAGGAGUUUGAGACCAGCCUGGUCAACAUGGCAAACCCCUCUCUAUUAAAAAUACAAAAAUUAGCUGGGCAUGGUGGCGCACACCUGUAAUCCCAGCUACUCGGGAGGCUGAGGCAGGAGAAUGGAUUGAACCUGGGAGGUGGAGGCCAAGACCUUGACGCAAAAAAAAAAAAAAAAGAAUGGAAGGUGGGAGUGACUUUGCCCCCUGCUGCUCACCUUUGAGUGAGAUGAGCAAAGGGAAUUGACUGCAGGAUUUGGCAGAAUGCAGAUGGUUGCUGAUUUUGGCAAGAGCAGUCUCCAUCAGUGAUGCAGACAAGAACCUGACUGUUGUGGGUUGAAGGGAGACUGUGAAGCAAGUAAGUGGAGAUGGCAAAGGCAGACAACUUUGCGAAGGAAUAGGGAGGAGAGAAAUGGGGUGAUGGCUGAAGGGGAUCCCAGGCCUUAGGGCGGGCAUUUUUUUUAAAGGUGUAAGCUCUGUAACACCAGCAUCUUCAUCAGUGGACAGUAAUGGCUCUGGAAAGAGUGAGAAAGCCCAGGGUGAAGAGGAAAUAGUCACUGCAGGAAGGACUGUGGUCUACAGGUGGUUCUCCUUCCCUCUUUACAGAGGGGAUGGAGCAGUCUUGCACCUCUCUAAGACAUUUGUCUUAGAGACCUUAGAGGUAUGAGAGAGGAUGUUGAGCUGGAAACAAUGGGUGAUGGAUGUUUUAGUCCAUUUUCACAAUGCUAUAAAGAACUACCUAAGACUGGGUAAUUUAUGAAGACAAGAGGUUUCAUUGAUUCACAGUUCCACAGGCUUAACAGGAAGCAUGACUGGGGGACCUCGGGAAAUUUACAAUCAUGGCAGAAGGCAAAGAGGAAGCAAGCUGACAGGACAUCAGCUUCUGCUUGGAUACAACCAGUAACGGGGAGCUCACUGGGGACCCAGGCAGUCCUUUCCAUUAUCAGGAAGCUCUAACCAACACACCAGCUGCAUAGGCCUCCUUGCAAUUUUCCACAUUUGCCUUUGAGAGGUGCGAGAGUAGGAUCCCCUCUGUAAAGAAGAAAGGCAGAGAACAUGUGUAAAAUGCAGCAAGGCAAGGAGAUUAGAUGGUGCCAAGAUGGUGUGAUCCUUCCACUGCUUUUAUUUUCUCAGUAAAAUAUAA